CAAUUUUUAUGAUAAGCAUCUCUCCAUCUUCAUCGUGUUUUCUUAUUUAAGAUAAUAUUCUUCAAAUUUCAAUUUGUUGUCUAUACAAUGGAGUGUUGUUGUGUUCGUAAUUGUUAAUUGACAGAUGUAAGUUUUUCGGAAAGCUAUUACAUUUAUGGUUUGAACAAUGUUUAUGCUUUAGUCUUUCCCUUUUUGGCUGAAUCUCAUAGGUUAUAUAGGCUUGUGUGUUUUGGUCAAAACCUAGUAUUUAACCCCAAAAAAAAAAAAAAAUUCAGGGUUUAUGUAAGCUUGUGUUUUCUAGCUGACAUCUCAAAUUGGCCAGAAACCUAAGCCGUGUGAAAGUUGGCCGACACUCUCUUUUAGGCCAAAAUUAAGAAAUUUUUUUUUAUAUUUCAGGAAAAUGAGAGCAAUAACUUAAAUUCUUGUAGAGUAUGGAGGACAUUAGGGAUGCUAAAAUGAUGGUUCAUAAAAGAAACAACAUCCAAAACCACAAUGUUUCUGAUUGUGAAGGAGAUUACUCAUGAAUAUGAUAACCCCAUCAAAAUCAACGGUGACAAAUAAUUAUCAUUUUUCUUUAACAAACAAAGGGAUGACACUAUCAAAUAUCUUCUCUUACAUGUUACAACAAAUGAUACACCCUUUUUAUCUGAGUUUCGUAUCCCAAGUGUUGUUAAUGAAGAUAUCUGUGAGAUUCAAGCCAUAACUAUGAAAUAUGGUUACGUUGGUGAUCUUAAUAACACUUCAAGGUUGGAUGAAUCACAACGCUGGUAGAAAUAGUCUUUAUGGUUAAGUUGACUAAAUUGGGUGGAAGACAAGCAUGAAUGAAUAUUAGCUUUACAAUGAUAACAUAUACUGGGUUUGUAUUUCACCAUCUAUAACCAUACCAUUGUUUGUCAGUCUUGCCUUUGAUGAUGGUGAUAUAAGGGUAGGAAUGGCUUGUGCUUUGAAAAUAUAAAAUAAGAGACAAAGUGAAUUGAAUAGGAGUAAGCCAAAAUUUUGAGUACAAUAUGGCUUGAUUUAAUAGUUAUCAUUUUGAGGCCAUAUGCAAAAACUUAAACAACUACAAAUGGCAUGCGGUUGCACUAAAGACAAAACCAUACAACCUUUAUCAGAUUAAAAAGGCUUAAGGGAAAUAUACUUGUGCUAGAAAUAAGCUGCUCCCUAAUCAUAUAAAUGUUUCUACUAAAGUAAUUGCUUUAUAUGCAUUGAUAUGGGCGGAAUUAGGUCAUUUUAGGGUAGGCCCUAAAUUUAAAAUUGUUUUUGAAAAGUUUAACGAAGGCCCACCCUUCUUUCAUUAGACCCACCCUCAAUAUUAAUUUUUUUUUUUUAAGUCUAAGUAAGCCAAAAAACUUAAAGAUCGAAAACUUAAUUUACAAUUACAAAUCCCUAACUUAUUCACCACAUCCCAUUCUUCCAAUUUUGGCUUUUCCAAAGAAUUUUUAAAACUAAGUUAUAAUCCCACAAUCUGUUGCCCAUUGCAUCUAGUUCCAGCUUUCAGAGUUUCAGUUUGUAGAAAUUUCAUAGAGUUGAUUAUAUAAAAUGAGAAAUGAAGAAACUUGCUUUGAAAUCUCGUUGAAAGAAGGUUCUAAUAUGUGCAAAGAUAAUGACAUACCAUUUUCAGAUAACAUGGAAGAUAACUUCGAGGAGGACAAAACAAGGGAUUCCAUCGAUUACGAAUAAACAUCAUUUUAAGCUGUUGCUAUGGCUAUUACUCGAUCCUUUCCACAAUUAUCUGAUUCUUCCAAAUCUUCUAGCAAGCUCAACUCCUAUGGUCAUAAUAAACAUGAUUGUGGUCAUGGUAAUGGUGGUUAAUCUACUCCUUGCCAAUGUAAUACCCUCAGGUUGUUUUGGUAAUAAGAGAAGGAAACAAGAAGGAGGGACCCAACCUAGUAAAGAUUGACUUAAAACAAAGUACAAGUGAUCGUGCUAGCUACGAGGUACGGUAAGGUCAGCGAAGAUAAAUCUAACUGGAGCAGGAUAUCUUUAGUUUAUAUUACAUGCAUAUAAUCAUAUGUUAUUGUUGGUUUUUGCGCUUCUUGAGAUGGUUGUACAGUUAUAUAUGAUUACUCAAUGUUUUCAGAUGUUUUUCGAUGAGUUUUUACAUGUGAUAUGUACAUUUUUUGUUCGCUUCUG
Mangifera indica (mango) is the source of this 2133-nucleotide long non-coding RNA. RefSeq lists it as uncharacterized. Lineage: Eukaryota; Viridiplantae; Streptophyta; Magnoliopsida; Sapindales; Anacardiaceae. The record is from RefSeq and is a predicted model, not a curated record. The transcript is spliced from 5 exons.